AAAUUAUGAUGAGGGCAUCUGAGAAGAAGUUCAUUGAAGUGCUCCUAUGCCUCAAAAAAAGGUCUCUGUCUUUUUGUUGGAAAGUCAGAAUUUCCCUUCUCAAUUG
Corylus avellana is the source of this 106-nucleotide small nucleolar RNA. NCBI's taxonomy places the organism in Eukaryota, Viridiplantae, Streptophyta, Magnoliopsida, Fagales, Betulaceae. The record is from RefSeq and is a predicted model, not a curated record.